Molecule: long non-coding RNA, 1397 nt
Filed under: Setaria italica (foxtail millet)
Lineage: Eukaryota; Viridiplantae; Streptophyta; Magnoliopsida; Poales; Poaceae
Description: long non-coding RNA (SITA_LNC004248)
Source: RNAcentral
UUUUUUUCGAGAACAUGCCUGAGAAUGUAUUUCAUUAAGAAGAAAAGGAAUACAACGAUACAGCCAGAGCUGCCACAACACAACACUACAACUCAAACACCACACACACACAACACAAACCAAACACAACACUACAACACAAGCACAACGCUACAACCCAAGCACAAGGGUAACCAGUCAAGCAACUCAAAGAUCAUAAGUAGAUGGUACCACCAAGCGUGAAGUCCUAUCCUUGCCGAGAGAUGAGCCACCACCUAAGCUUGGAGACGAGAGAGCGACCACCUCAACUCUAGAAGCAAUGAAGCACGUUACGCCGCUUGAUGACCAAAAUAGCUACAACCAAGAGACCAACACCCUGCAUACAAAGAGUAAAGACUGUCGAAACCAGCCAGAGCACCCAUGUCGAUGGCAAGAAAAGCACGAAGGAUUUCUUAAAUACGAUGCCUUCAAGAAGGGCACGACGCACAUGUGCGCCGCCAUCACCUAUCUGGACAUCCAGACUCGGUUUUCACCUAAGGAAACAAGGGUUAAGGUUAUCACAAUGCCUCCAACAAUGUGAACGACGUCCAAGGACGUCGCCAUUGUUGCGUCAGCCCAAGCUACGCAAGGCUUUCGCCUAAGACCCAUUGACCCAUCCUUCGCCCCUAACACCACGGCCAACGGGGAACACAGCUAGAGACAAAUUAGACAAGUGUAAGCCAUGCAAGGGUGAAGGAAGAGCAGCGUUGCUUGAAGAGGGGCGCUAGCAGAUCCAGAGCGGAAGCGCAGCCUGUAGGACUUCCUACCAUCAGAGCAACAGAUGGGCACGACCAAGAACGGUGCCAACAACGGCCACCUACACGACCAAGCAAUAGGCGAUGGGAGUAGCGAGGGAGGCUCAAGGGCGCCCCAACAUAGAUACGGGCAGCACAACAGAGGUGGCGGCAACCCCACCAACAACCAGCAGCGGCGGUGGCUCCGGACGAUGACCAUCGGCGGCGACAGCAGCCACCCAUGACCCGAGCAAUGCGCCCCCCAGGCCCCACCCUGACUACAAGGGCGUAGAUCUGGGAUGAAUCCGCUUGGACGAGGGAUGGGGGCAGCUAUCGGAGGUGGCGACGGUGACUCAGAGGCCACCACCAUCAGCGACAACAAGAGCCGUCUCCCGACAUGAGGAGCACGGAUUCGGCUAGAUCUACCUGAAGCGAGGCCGGAGGUGGCCCAUGUCAGCAUCGGAGAGCACCCUUGGCGACCAUGGAGCUGAAGUAUGAGAGAGAUUGGGGGAGAGGAAGGGGAAGGAGGGAGGAGAGGGGAGGGUGCCCAGGCCAACUUCGACCGUGGCGGCAGCCUUCAAGGCUAGGAUUUGGGGGGAGUUGGUGGCGGCGACGGAUGUUACCCUCAAGUCGCCCAGGGAGGAC